RNAcentral lists this unclassified non-coding RNA (1272 nucleotides) under Camponotus floridanus (Florida carpenter ant). RNAcentral describes it as "gDP-fucose protein O-fucosyltransferase 2, transcript variant X1". Lineage: Eukaryota; Metazoa; Arthropoda; Insecta; Hymenoptera; Formicidae. The record is from RNAcentral.
CUUGUAUACAUAUAUAAAUAAUUGAAAAAAAUGCUUAUAUUUAAACUUCUACAUAUUAUUAUUUUAAUUUUUGCAUAUAUCGUAAAUGGCAAUGAACUUGAAUUUUGCGAAGUAUCUGAUAAAUAUGCCGAAAAUUCGGAAAAGUGUUCUGUUAGAAACAACUUUGCGCAAAAACGUUACAUCCUUUACGAUAUAAAUCCUCCAGAAGGUUUCAACCUGAGAAGAGAUGUGUAUGUUCGUCUUGCUGUUUUUCUUAAAAGAUUAAUUGAAAGAGACAAAGAAUAUCAGUGGCAAUUAGUUUUACCACCAUGGGGUAAUUUAUAUCAUUGGCAACGUCAGAAUACAGAAUUUCAAAAGUAUAUAUUCUGGAAUACUUUUUUUGAUAUAACAAGUCUGCAACGAUAUAUACCAGUUAUUGAAAUGUAUAAAUUUCUGGAAGAGUAUUCAUCUGGAAACAAAGAAAUACAACUCGAUUGUGUGUAUAUUUUGCAAAAUGAUGAAGAAAUGUUCAAAACUGGUAAAUUUGAAGAUAAGAAUGAAAUAGUAGACUGUUCUCAAGAUUUUUUGCAGAACUAUAAAUCAAAACAAUACAUAUACACUAGUCCUUUUUGGGGCUACAGUAAUAUUACAACUCAAAAUGUAAAAUGUCUCAAGUUUCAUGGCACAGCAUCUUAUCUUUAUCAAAAUCUCAAACCGACCAAAUAUAGAUCUAUAAUGUUUGAUCAUAUGGAGAUUGCCUUGCAUGAUGAAUAUGGCUCUAAAGAAUACUGGAAGGCCAGACGCAGCAUGCGAUAUAAUUCCGAAUUGUAUAAUAUUGCGAAAAAUUAUAGAAAAUCUUUUUUGAAUUCCACAGAUGAAAAUGAUAACACAGAUCGACCUGCAGAUUGGACUAAAGAAAAGAGUCGGCGAAAUGCAAAGGGCGGUCCAUAUUUAGCAGUCCAUCUUAGAAGACGUGAUUUUAUCGUAGGCCAUAAAAAGUCAGUACCGAAUAUAAAGAAUGCUGCUUCUCAAUUGCAAGAAAAAAUGGAUAAGCUUGGACUAACUGUGUUGUUUGUUGCGACAGAUGGAGAACAACAUGGUAUUUCUAGAAUUUGAAGAACUUAAGUCAUAUUUGCCUCAAUACAAAGUCUUGAAAUUUGUACCGUCUGAUUAUGUGAUCAGUAAAUUUAAAGAUGGUGGAAUUGCCAUUAUUGAUCAGAUAAUUUGUUCAUAUGCCAGAUAUUUCAUAGGGACACAUCAAUCAACGUUUACAUAUAGAAUACAAGAAGAUAG